Molecule: ribosomal RNA, 465 nt
Filed under: Vreelandella stevensii
Lineage: Bacteria; Pseudomonadati; Pseudomonadota; Gammaproteobacteria; Oceanospirillales; Halomonadaceae
Description: partial 16S ribosomal RNA
Rfam family: Bacterial small subunit ribosomal RNA
Source: RNAcentral
CCUACGGGAGGCUGCAGUGGGGAAUAUUGGACAAUGGGCGAAAGCCUGAUCCAGCCAUGCCGCGUGUGUGAAGAAGGCCUUCGGGUUGUAAAGCACUUUCAGUGGGGAAGAAAGCCUUGGGGCUAAUACCCUCGAGGAAGGACAUCACCCACAGAAGAAGCACCGGCUAACUCCGUGCCAGCAGCCGCGGUAAUACGGAGGGUGCGAGCGUUAAUCGGAAUUACUGGGCGUAAAGCGCGCGUAGGCGGUCUGAUAAGCCGGUUGUGAAAGCCCCGGGCUCAACCUGGGAACGGCAUCCGGAACUGCCAGGCUAGAGUGCAGGGGAGGAAGGUAGAAUUCCCGGUGUAGCGGUGAAAUGCGUAGAGAUCGGGAGGAAUACCAGUGGCGAAGGCGGCCUUCUGGACUGACACUGACGCUGAGGUGCGAAAGCGUGGGUAGCAAACAGGAUUAGAUACCCCUGUAGUC